This 315-nucleotide ribosomal RNA is filed under the name uncultured Agaricales. Its description in RNAcentral is "partial large subunit ribosomal RNA". It matches the Rfam family "Eukaryotic large subunit ribosomal RNA", at positions 40 to 349 of the family's 3401-position model. The record is from RNAcentral. Lineage: Eukaryota; Fungi; Basidiomycota; Agaricomycetes; Agaricales.
AUAUCAAUAAGCGGAGGAAAAGAAACUAACAAGGAUUCCCCUAGUAACUGCGAGUGAGGCGGGAAAAGCUCAAAUUUAAAAUCUGAUGGCCUUCAGCCAUCCGAGUUGUAAUUUAGAGAAGCGUCUUCCGCGCUGGACCGUGCAUAAGUCUCCUGGAAUGGAGCGUCAUAGAGGGUAAGAAUCCCGUCUUUGACACGGACUGCCAGGCUUUGUGAUGCGCUCUCGAAGAGUCGAGUUGUUUGGGAAUGCAGCUCAAAAUGGGUGGUAAAUUUCAUCUAAAGCUAAAUAUUGGCCAGAGACCGAUAGCGCACAAUA